Molecule: long non-coding RNA, 939 nt
Organism: Alexandromys fortis (reed vole)
Lineage: Eukaryota; Metazoa; Chordata; Mammalia; Rodentia; Cricetidae
Exons: 2
Source: RefSeq, a predicted model, not a curated record
UGUGUGGCCUGCAGCUGGGGCAAGAGAUGGACUUGAGUAUUUUUCCUGCUUGUGGAAGCUACAGUGGCUGGUGGCAGCCUAGAAGAAGUCGGGGCAUGACCCACAUUGUUAGGACAGAGGCAAGUAAAACAGGACAGAACAUCAUAUUUAGAGCAGCAGUGGAAUGCCAGCCUUGGAUCUAGGAGGAAGGACCUGAGUGUUGGGGAACGAGAAGAGCUGCUCAAACGGGAAACCUGUCUACACUAACAGAGCUGACGUCACAGGUGGCCAGGGAAGGCUGCCUCCAUUAACCAUAUAGAUCUUCCAGGAAGGAGAAUGUCCACUGAAUGCACCUGCUGCCCUCUGAGAGGACAAAGCCAACCUUUGGCAGUACCAACCAUUUAAGAGCCUUCCCAUUCCCCUUUAGCUUCCUUCCUUACCCCCCACGAUUCCUGGAGGGACCAGAAACUAAGUCCCCAAGCUAGUGGAAGAGCAGAAGUGCAGGAUCCACAGGUUUUGCUGGCAGCAACCCAAGCAGGAAGGAGAGGGAAGAAUUACACAAUGAACGGAGGCAGUGUCUCUGACUUAAAGUGACCACAGACCUUUUAUUAUUGUCAUUACCUAACCGAGAUCAGAGAAUGCAAGGAGCAAGAGACAUAUGGUACAACAUGAGCACCUUCAAAGGGAAGUGGGAGCCAACACCAGUCCUGCUCUCCCAGUGUCUUCAUGUUAUCCAGUAUGGACAUGUCCAUAUUUUCAAAGUCUCUCUUGGAGCAGGUUACCCCACUCCAAGUGAAUUGUGUCUUGAACCUAAGCUUUCUCUAUGGCCAUGAUCUUCAAUGCAAGUGGUAACCUAAGAGAAUUUCCAGCUCUUUCAUGUCCCUCACAAGUGACUUGUCUUGACUGGUUUGUUUGUGUUGAUUUCAUAUGCACAAAUAAAGCAUGUGACUUUUGUUAGUA